Molecule: ribosomal RNA, 237 nt
Filed under: uncultured bacterium
Lineage: Bacteria
Description: partial 16S ribosomal RNA
Rfam family: Bacterial small subunit ribosomal RNA
Source: RNAcentral
CGCACGGGUGAGUAACGCGUAAGUAAUCUACCCUGGCAUCUGGGAUAACCCACCGAAAGGUGAGCUAAUACCGGAUACGUUGAUUUAUCAAGAAAGGUGGCCUCUUCAUGAAAGCUACUGUGCUGGGAGGAGCUUGCGUACCAUUAGCUAGUUGGUAGGGUAAAGGCCUACCAAGGCGACGAUGGUUAGCGGGUCUGAGAGGAUGAUCCGCCACACUGGAACUGGAACACGGACCAG